This 1124-nucleotide ribosomal RNA is filed under the name Sanguibacter sp. RNAcentral describes it as "bacterial SSU rRNA". It matches the Rfam family "Bacterial small subunit ribosomal RNA", at positions 69 to 1207 of the family's 1533-position model. Lineage: Bacteria; Bacillati; Actinomycetota; Actinomycetes; Micrococcales; Sanguibacteraceae. The record is from RNAcentral.
AUAUCGGAGCUUGCUCUGGUUGAUCAGUGGCGAACGGGUGAGUAACACGUGAGUAACCUGCCCUUGACUCUGGGAUAACUCCGGGAAACCGGGGCUAAUACCGGAUACGAGACGCGACCGCAUGGUCGGCGUCUGGAAAGUUUUUCGGUCAAGGAUGGACUCGCGGCCUAUCAGCUUGUUGGUGAGGUAAUGGCUCACCAAGGCGUCGACGGGUAGCCGGCCUGAGAGGGCGACCGGCCACACUGGGACUGAGACACGGCCCAGACUCCUACGGGAGGCAGCAGUGGGGAAUAUUGCACAAUGGGCGAAAGCCUGAUGCAGCGACGCCGCGUGAGGGAUGAAGGCCUUCGGGUUGUAAACCUCUUUCAGUAGGGAAGAAGCGAAAGUGACGGUACCUGCAGAAGAAGCGCCGGCUAACUACGUGCCAGCAGCCGCGGUAAUACGUAGGGCGCAAGCGUUGUCCGGAAUUAUUGGGCGUAAAGAGCUCGUAGGCGGUUUGUCGCGUCUGGUGUGAAAACUCAAGGCUCAACCUUGAGCUUGCAUCGGGUACGGGCAGACUAGAGUGUGGUAGGGGUGACUGGAAUUCCUGGUGUAGCGGUGGAAUGCGCAGAUAUCAGGAGGAACACCGAUGGCGAAGGCAGGUCACUGGGCCACUACUGACGCUGAGGAGCGAAAGCAUGGGGAGCGAACAGGAUUAGAUACCCUGGUAGUCCAUGCCGUAAACGUUGGGCACUAGGUGUGGGGCUCAUUCCACGAGUUCCGCGCCGCAGCUAACGCAUUAAGUGCCCCGCCUGGGGAGUACGGCCGCAAGGCUAAAACUCAAAGGAAUUGACGGGGGUCCCGCACAAGCGGCGGAGCAUGCGGAUUAAUUCGAUGCAACGCGAAGAACCUUACCAAGGCUUGACAUACACCGGAAUCAUGCAGAGAUGUGUGCGUCUUCGGACUGGUGUACAGGUGGUGCAUGGUUGUCGUCAGCUCGUGUCGUGAGAUGUUGGGUUAAGUCCCGCAACGAGCGCAACCCUCGUCCUAUGUUGCCAGCACGUUAUGGUGGGGACUCAUAGGAGACUGCCGGGGUCAACUCGGAGGAAGGUGGGGAUGACGUCAAAUCAUCAUGCCCCUUAUGU